UCUAUCGGUAAAGACAGUUAGGCAAAAAAGAAUCGUCAGAUCUUUAGUACAGGGGUAAAAUCUAAAUACUAAAAGUUAUUUCUAACACGGUUUAUUUUAAAAGCUGAAUCUGUGACAACUUUAAGGGAAACUGGGAUUGGAUACCCCAUUAUUUUUAGUAAUAAAUUUGAUUUAAAUAUACCAGAGUACUACGAAUAAAAAGUUUAAAACUCAAAGAGCUUGGCGGUGUUUUAGACCUCUCAGGGGAACCUGUCUCAUAAUCGACAAUCCGCGCUAGACCCGACCCUCUAUAGCAAUUCAGCCUGUAUACCGUCGUCGUCAGGUAACUUCCUAAAAUAUAGUAGUUAGCUUGAGAAUUUUAUUAAUUAAUACGUCAGAUCAAGGUGCAGCUUAUAAGGGGGAGAGGAUGGGUUACAAUUAUAGAUUUAUAAUUACGGAAGACGCUCAAAACAGAGCAUCCAAAGGAGGACUUGAAAGUAAUUCUAACUAUAUAAAUAGAAUGAAUAAGGCUCUGAAACGUG
Molecule: ribosomal RNA, 521 nt
Filed under: Conus poormani
Lineage: Eukaryota; Metazoa; Mollusca; Gastropoda; Neogastropoda; Conidae
Description: partial 12S ribosomal RNA
Source: RNAcentral